Molecule: long non-coding RNA, 582 nt
Organism: Amphiprion ocellaris (clown anemonefish)
Lineage: Eukaryota; Metazoa; Chordata; Actinopteri; Pomacentridae
Source: Ensembl
UGUUUACAGGUGUGACGUGUCCAGGUGUUAUUUACAGGUGUGACGUGUCCAGGUGUUAUUUACAGGUGUGACGUGUCCAGGUGUUAUUUACAGGUGUGAUGUGUCCAGGUGUUGUUUACAGGUGUGACGUGUCCAGGUGUUAUUUACAGGUGUGAUGUGUCCAGGUGUUAUUUACAGGUGUGAUGUGUCCAGGUGUUUACAGGUGUGAUGUGUCCAGGUGUUGUUUACAGGUGUGAUGUUUCCAGGUGUGAUGUGUCCAGGUGUUAUUUACAGGUGUGACGUGUCCAGGUGUUAUUUACAGGUGUGACGUGUCCAGGUGUUGUUUACAGGUGUGAUGUGUCCAGGUGUUUACAGGUGUGACGUGUCCAGGUGUUAUUUACAGGUGUGACGUGUCCAGGUGUUAUUUACAGGUGUGACGUGUCCAGGUGUUUACAGGUGUGAUCUGUCCAGGUGUUAUUUACAGGUGUGACGUGUCCAGGUGUUGUUUACAGGUGUGAUGUGUCCAGGUGUUUACAGGUGUGACGUGUCCAGGUGUUAUUUACAGGUGUGAUGUGUCCAGGUGUUAUUUACAGGUGUGAUGUG